Molecule: ribosomal RNA, 254 nt
Filed under: uncultured bacterium
Lineage: Bacteria
Description: partial 16S ribosomal RNA
Rfam family: Bacterial small subunit ribosomal RNA
Source: RNAcentral
UACGGGGGGAGCAAGCGUUGUUCGGAUUUACUGGGCGUAAAGGGCGCGUAGGCGGUCAGCACAAGUCAGUUGUGAGAUCUCCGGGCUUAACUCGGAAAGGUCAACUGAUACUGUGCGACUAGAGUGCAGAAGGGGCAACUGGAAUUCUCGGUGUAGCGGUGAAAUGCGUAGAUAUCGAGAGGAACACCUGCGGCGAAGGCGGGUUGCUGGGCUGACACCGACGCUGAGGAGCGAAAGCGUGGGGAGCGAACAGG